RNAcentral lists this ribosomal RNA (465 nucleotides) under uncultured bacterium. RNAcentral's name for it is "partial 16S ribosomal RNA". It matches the Rfam family "Bacterial small subunit ribosomal RNA", at positions 28 to 507 of the family's 1533-position model. The record is from RNAcentral.
GACGAACGCUGGCGGCGUGCUUAACACAUGCAAGUCGAACGGAAAGGCCCUGCUUGCAGGGUACUCGAGUGGCGAACGGGUGAGUAACACGUGGGUGAUCUGCCCUGCACUUCGGGAUAAGCCUGGGAAACUGGGUCUAAUACCGGAUAUGACCUUCCAUGUAGUGUGGGGGGUGGAAAGAUUUAUCGGUGUGGGAUGAGCCCGCGGCCUAUCAGCUUGUUGGUGGGGUAAUGGCCUACCAAGGCGUCGACGGGUAGCCGGCCUGAGAGGGUGGACGGCCACAUUGGGACUGAGAUACGGCCCAGACUCCUACGGGAGGCAGCAGUGGGGAAUAUUGCACAAUGGGCGGAAGCCUGAUGCAGCGACGCCGCGUGGGGGAUGACGGCCUUCGGGUUGUAAACCUCUUUCGACAGGGACGAAGCUUCGGCGACGGUACCUGUAUAAGAAGCACCGGCUAACUACGUG